Molecule: ribosomal RNA, 448 nt
Filed under: uncultured bacterium
Lineage: Bacteria
Description: SSU rRNA
Rfam family: Bacterial small subunit ribosomal RNA
Source: RNAcentral
AGAGCGAACGCUGGCGGCAGGCCUAACACAUGCAAGUCGAGCGGCCGUAGCAAUACGGCAGCGGCGGACGGGAGAGUAACACGUGGGAACGCGCCCUUCGGUUCGGAAUAACUCAGGGAAACUUGGGCUAAUACCGGAUACGCCCUUACGGGGAAAGAUUUAUUGCCGAAGGAACGGCCCGCGUCCGAUUAGCUUGUUGGUGAGGUAACGGCUCACCAAGGCGACGAUCGGUAGCUGGUCUGAGAGGAUGACCAGCCUCACUGGGACUGAGACACGGCCCAGACUCCUACGGGAGGCAGCAGUGGGGAAUAUUGGACAAUGGGCGCAAGCCUGAUCCAGCCAUGCCGCGUGGGUGAUGAAGGCCCUAGGGUUGUAAAGCCCUUUCGGCGGGGAAGAUAAUGACGGUACCCGCAGAAGAAGCCCCGGCUAACUUCGUGCCAGCAGCCGC